AACGAACGCUGGCGGCAGGCCUAACACAUGCAAGUCGAACGCUCCGCAAGGGGAGUGGCGCACGGGUGAGUAACACGUGGGAACCUACCUUCUGGUACGGAACAACCAAGGGAAACUUUGGCUAAGACCGUAUACGACCUCCGGGUGGAAGAUUGAUCGCCGGAAGAGGGGCCCGCGUCCGAUUAGGUAGUUGGUGAGGUAACGGCUCACCAAGCCUUCGAUCGGUAGCUGGUC
This 234-nucleotide ribosomal RNA is filed under the name uncultured bacterium. RNAcentral describes it as "partial 16S ribosomal RNA". It matches the Rfam family "Bacterial small subunit ribosomal RNA", at positions 29 to 292 of the family's 1533-position model. The record is from RNAcentral.